Molecule: long non-coding RNA, 957 nt
Filed under: Manihot esculenta (cassava)
Lineage: Eukaryota; Viridiplantae; Streptophyta; Magnoliopsida; Malpighiales; Euphorbiaceae
Description: long non-coding RNA (MESC_LNC010408)
Source: RNAcentral
AGACUUUAGUUUAGGGGGUCUCCCUCUGCCUCGAGGCUUAGAUGAUGGCUGUUGCUCAUCUUGAUGCUGAGGAUCUUUGUUCAAAGGUGCUUUUGGUUUAGGAGAUCUUUCCAUGCUAGAAAGGUCAAGCUGCUGCUCUGGAUCUUUGUGCCAUUCAAGAAAAGCAGGUGAUUCAACAGAAUGUAACUUGGCUUCCAUUUGUUGAUUAGAGAGAAUCAUAUCAGUAUCAGACUUUAGUUUUCGGGGUCUCCCUCUGCCUCGAGGCUUAGAUGAUGGCUGUUGCUCAUCUUGAUGCUGAGGAUCUUUGUUCACAGGUGCUUUUGGUUUAGGAGAUCUUUCCAUGCUAGAAAGGUCAAGCUGCUGCUCUGGAUCUUUGUGCCAUUCAAGAAAAGCAGGUGAUUCAACAUAAUGUAACUUGGCUUCCAUUUGUUGAUUAGAGAUAAUCAUAUCAGUAUCAGACUUUAGUUUACGGGGUCUCCCUCUGCCUCGAGGCUUAGAUGAUGGCUGUUGCUCAGGAUCUUUGUUCACAGGUGCUUUUGGUUUAGGAGAUCUUUCCAUGCUAGAAAGGUCAAGCUGCUGCUCUGGAUCUUUGUGCCAUUCAAGAAAAGCAGGUGAUUCAACAGAAUGUAAUUUGGCUUUCAUUUGUUGAUUAGAGAGAAUCAUAUCAGUACUAGACUUUAGUUUACGGGGUCUUCCUCUGCCUCGAGGCUUAGAUGAUGGCUGUUGCUCAUCUUGAUGCUGAGGAUCUUUGUUCACAGGUGCUUUUGGUUUAGGAGAUCUUUCCAUGCUAGAAAGGUCAAGCUGCUGCUCUGAAUCUUUGUGCCAUUCAAGAAAAGAAGGUGAUUCAACAGAAUGUAAUUUGGCUUCCAUUUGUUGAUUAGAGAGAAUCUGUGGGUGAGGAUGCUGCUCUGACAAUAGAUCACAAAUAAGUUCCUUCUGUUCACAAGGGCUUGUAAU